RNAcentral lists this long non-coding RNA (682 nucleotides) under Homo sapiens (human). Its description in RNAcentral is "HSALNT0366944". The record is from RNAcentral. Lineage: Eukaryota; Metazoa; Chordata; Mammalia; Primates; Hominidae.
AGCAAACAGCAAGCAUCUAUUACAAGAGGAAACCAAAAUAACUCAAGGAAAGAAGAGCAAGGGCCUGUGAACUGAAGCAGCAUGGGAGUCAAGAGGGGAAAGAUAAAGAAAGGUGUUAAUGUGGGAGAAGGAAAAGGACUUCACCCAUUACUUAUGUUAAGAGGAUUAAAGGAACAAGGAGGAGCUUGGUAACAUUUUGAGAAUUUUAGCUUGGAUGACUGUGUAGAUGGUGAUGAAUUUGGCUGAGAUGAGAAAUUCAGAAGGGGCUUCCUCUCCACUGACUUCUGCAACAUGGCCCAUGUCACUGAGCUGGCAACCAAGAGGGAGGAGAAAAGAGAAAGGAACCCUCCCAUUCAUCCUUCCGUAUCACUACUCAGAACCAAGUACCUCUGCUUCUAAACUACAUCAGGGAGUGCAACUCCCAUGGAAUCACAGGACAAGAAGAAAUGGGAACAGAUAUUUAAGAAUUUGAAUUCUGUGAGUACCUUCUAAGAUACCCCUUAUCCUGACUAAUUUGAGGUGAUGAACUCAGGAAUGUUGCAUCUUGAAUCAGAAACACCUUUGUUAUUGCAUUGUUUAUGAGCUAGAUAAAAAAUCCCUGGAAGGAGAAUACGAAUACCUGGAUGUGGAAGGGCAUGUGACAGUAUAAGGAGUAACUGCCCAUUGUGAUGACAAAAGGAGU